UAAUGUAUGGGGAGCUGCCCGAUAGAGGGGGAUAACUACUGGAAACGGUGGCUAAUACCGCAUAACGUCGCAAGACCAAAGUGGGGGACCUUCGGGCCUCAUGCCAUCAGAUGUGCCCAGAUGGGAUUAGCUAGUAGGUGGGGUAAUGGCUCACCUAGGCGACGAUCCCUAGCUGGUCUGAGAGGAUGACCAGCCACACUGGAACUGAGACACGGUCCAG
Molecule: ribosomal RNA, 220 nt
Filed under: uncultured bacterium
Lineage: Bacteria
Description: partial 16S ribosomal RNA
Rfam family: Bacterial small subunit ribosomal RNA
Source: RNAcentral